UCUCAUCUUCUGCACCGUCAGACCCUUCAGUAGCAUCAGAAGCUCUUCUUCGUCACACUUCCUCCCGUCGAAACUUUGGUUUCGGAUCACACGGCCUGAGAAUAACCGAAGCUGGAGAAACAGAUGGUCUUCAAGAAGGUUGCAGUGACUCGGAUUUCCUCACUGAGAAGAGUUGAAACGAGAAGAAGCGAGAGGCUUGCCGCGCCGUUCGACGGGGGAUGGAGCUGGCCACCUUCUCUACUCCUCAUAUCAAACGAAUUUUAAGAGAUCAGGGCCCGAUGUCCGGGAAGGAAAACGAAGACAGUUCAACUAUAUAGUGGCAGCUGCAGCAGCACCUGUCAAAGUACAGGAAAAUGUCCAGGACUAUAUUAGUGUGAUCUGGAAAAUUGGGAAGGAAUUGCAACUUUUGAUCCAACUGUUUGAAUCGAUGUGAAAUUUCAAUUGAAAGUUCAGUACUUUGAAUAUAUAUGGUCAGUUUGGUAUAGAUCAGCCUACAAACAUGUUUCCCAAAGCUUAUAUUGGAAAGGGAUGUGACUGGAGAUCAAACAAUAUGUGGCUGAUGCAAUUUAUGUUAAAAACUCAAACAGGAUUUAGUUCAUCUUGAUUGCUUUCACCCUUUCCAACUCCUAGUUGUAUCUGCCAGAUUUCUUUUUGGACUUCAUUGAUGGAUUUCCAGUUUCUAGGAAAGUGUUGUUGUCAUUGUAAGGGAGAUGUCAAGUAUGCUUAUUUUUCCUCUGAUGCCCCUACUCAACACUAUCCAAGGUUUCUUUUAUUUAUGGAUAAUAUUAUAGGCUU
Long non-coding RNA from Macadamia integrifolia, 795 nucleotides. RefSeq lists it as uncharacterized. The record is from RefSeq and is a predicted model, not a curated record. Lineage: Eukaryota; Viridiplantae; Streptophyta; Magnoliopsida; Proteales; Proteaceae. The transcript is spliced from 3 exons.